Leptidea sinapis is the source of this 1677-nucleotide RNA transcript. RefSeq lists it as uncharacterized. Lineage: Eukaryota; Metazoa; Arthropoda; Insecta; Lepidoptera; Pieridae. The transcript is spliced from 5 exons. The record is from RefSeq and is a predicted model, not a curated record.
CCACUUGGAGGGUCAUCGGGAUUACGGAUCAUCAACUUCGGUUGCGCUUGAUCAGCAUCAACGCACACGAUUCGUCGGGCAACGAGGCUACGUGUUAAUUUCAUUCAUCACCUGUGGAUGGCAUAACAACCGUGAGAUCGUUCCAACCUACUCCUCAAUAUAUAAAAUCAUUUGCUGUACUGCAUAAUUUAAAAUCAUUUGUCAUUUUAUUCUUGUACAUUGCCUCUCAUUUUUAUUCUAUUUAUAUUCAUCUCAUUCAUCAUAAUCAACUAGAUUUUCUUAGUCUCAUUUAUCGUCAUAUUUGAACAUUAUAACGCCUGACAUCAUUCUAUAGCAAAAUUGCAUUUCUGUGUUAUUUCUUUUCUAUAUUGCCUGUUUGCUUGUGCCUUCUUUAAAACAUACACCUAGUUGGCUUCUAUUUUAUUUUAAGCUUUACUCUUUCUUCCUCAUUAUGUCCGAGUCUCAAAUAAAAACGUUGAUUAAAAAACGAGGUUCUAUAAAGGCCAAGCUUACACAAUUUUCGAAUUAUGUUGAACUAUCUAAAUCUUGUAAAAAAUUAAGCGAAUUGCAGACUAUAGAACUGGAGUUCAGGCUGGCUGCUAUUGAGGCCCUACAUGAAAAGUAUGACGCCUUGCAGGACGAGUUGGAGAUGUUGGCGGACGACCCCGACGAGCAAUAUGCGGAACGCGAAGAAUUUGAUAAACUAUACUGCAGUCUAGUGGCUACUGCUCGCCAGCUGAUCACUAUCGCGCGCAGAGAGUUGAAUGCAGACAUCGCGUCCGAGCGCUCGUGAAUGUGGUGGAUACUAACGGAAAGCUCCAUACCGCACGGGUCUUGCUGGACAACGGGAGCACAGCCAACUUUGUUUCAGAGGAUUUCUGCCAUGCGUCUGAGCGAGCUUACGGUGCCUGCGUCUUCGUGCGCAGCAUACAUGCCGAUGGCUCUGUUCACGUUCAUCUACUUAGUUCCAAGAGCAAGGUAGCUCCUAUAAAACCAGCUACUAUGCCCCGACUCGAACUAUGUGCAGCCUUGAUGGGCGCUCGAUUGCAUUCUAAGCUCUCAACCGAUUUAUUGCUCGGAGGGGGAAACCACGCCACAUCUUCUCGGACAAUGGUAGUACUUUCGUCGGGGCCUUCAAUGAGCUAGCACAGCUUCUAGCACAGGAUCUCGACCUAAAUAAAAUCGAUCCAGGAAAAAUCCAAAUGGCAUCGCUCUACCAGAGGAGAACUAAAGGAAGGGGCUCUCGUUGUAAUCAAGGACAAGACCUCUCCGCAUCUUAUGUGGCUGAUGGGACGAGUCAUCCGUGUGCUACCAGGGAGUGACGGCGUCGCAAGAGUUGCAGACAUACGCACACGCAAGGGUGUGCUCAGACGGGCAUUCAACACUAUUUGCCCCCUGCCUCUACAGUGACUCUACCUUGAAGACCACGGCUCUUCAACAGGGGGAGCAUGUUGGAGCCGCCUUAACUGCGGCUGAUGAACCGGUUGUGUAGCCGGACGCCAGAGGGGAGCCGCCGGAGAGGGGAGGCAACGGUCGUCGACCCACUCGGCAGUGCCACGUCCCGCAGUCGCGUCAAACCCUAUCAGCACGACACCCGCGCACGCGCAUCUACCUAUUUACAAUAUUUCCGCAUACGAUAACCAGUUACUUUGUGCUGUCAAUAAACAUUUAACUACA